This 77-nucleotide transfer RNA is filed under the name Perkinsus olseni. Its description in RNAcentral is "tRNA-Ile". The record is from RNAcentral. Lineage: Eukaryota; Perkinsozoa; Perkinsida; Perkinsidae.
GGUCAUGUAGCUCAGUGGUUAGAGCGAUGAUCUUAUGAGCCGUAGGUCGUGGGUUCGACCCUGUACAGUAAUGAACG